Molecule: unclassified non-coding RNA, 340 nt
Filed under: Hevea brasiliensis (rubber tree)
Lineage: Eukaryota; Viridiplantae; Streptophyta; Magnoliopsida; Malpighiales; Euphorbiaceae
Source: RNAcentral
CUGGGAACCUGUAAGAGCCAAGCCAGACAAGUCAAGCUGAAGUAGAGAAGCUUUAAUAGUAAAAUAAAAUGAAGAAAUUUGAAGAAACAGUUAAGCUAAAAGUUAUACAUUUAAGUAAACCUAAUUGCAUUGAUCUCCAACAUACUGACAUUACCGUUAGAAGUUGUGAAUUGUGAUACAUGACCUCAGGUAAAGGUAUGUUCCCAGGUGUUGGGUUUUUCUAUUUUCUAAAUUUCACCAGACUUCCUACUAAUUUGAAGUCAAACAAUAAAAGUUUCAUACCCAUGUCCAAGUAUCUUCAUACAAUAGUGGUACAUUAGCGUAAAAUGAAGAAUUGAAG